RNAcentral lists this ribosomal RNA (522 nucleotides) under uncultured bacterium. Its description in RNAcentral is "bacterial SSU rRNA". It matches the Rfam family "Bacterial small subunit ribosomal RNA", at positions 777 to 1297 of the family's 1533-position model. The record is from RNAcentral.
AAUAGAUACCCUGGUAGUCCACGCCGUAAACGAUGAGUGCUAAGUGUUAGAGGGUUUCCGCCCUUUAGUGCUGCAGCUAACGUAUUAAGCACUCCGCCUGGGGAGUACGGCCGCAAGGCUGAAACUCAAAGGAAUUGACGGGGGCCCGCACAAGCGGUGGAGCAUGUGGUUUAAUUCGAAGCAACGCGAAGAACCUUACCAGGUCUUGACAUCCUCUGCCAACCCUAGAGAUAGGGUGUUCCCCUUCGGGGGACAGAGUGACAGGUGGUGCAUGGUUGUCGUCAGCUCGUGUCGUGAGAUGUUGGGUUAAGUCCCGCAACGAGCGCAACCCUUGAUCUUAGUUGCCAGCAUUUAGUUGGGCACUCUAAGGUGACUGCCGGUGACAAACCGGAGGAAGGUGGGGAUGACGUCAAAUCAUCAUGCCCCUUAUGACCUGGGCUACACACGUGCUACAAUGGAUGGUACAAAGAGCUGCGAACCCGCGAGGGUAAGCCAAUCUCAUAAAGCCAUUCUCAGUUCGGA